UUAUUAUUAAUAGUUAUUAAAAGCUUGGAUUUGAGAUGGAAACCAACCAACUCAAAACUAGCAACCAUGAUAAGUCAAUUAGGUUGUCCAAUGACUCAGUCAAGCCAAAACUAAAUUUCCCUGACCCAGUCAAUGAUUAAGCUAAUGAGUUUAGAAAUACUGAAUUUAGAAGUACAGAUUGUUGUCAUUUUUCCUCACUGACUGUUUUCUUUUACUACAUUCACAGUGGAAUUGGCAGACAAUCCCCAUAGGAUCAGUCUUCUUGGUUUUCCUACUAGUUGCCAAAUACAAUGUAAGUUUUUUCUAUUUGCUUCAUAUUCCUUGGACUCCAUGCUUGUGGAAGGUUUCCUUCUUACAUGACUCAAAAGUGUUACAGGGGAAGAAGAAGAAGAGCCUUUUCUGGGUGCCCGCGAUCGCCCCUUUGAUCUUUGUUAUUCUCUUGACCUUUUUCGUGUAUAUUACACAUGCAGAAAAGCAUGGUGUUAAAAUUGUGAAAGACAUACAAAAGGGUAUAAAUCCGUCAUCCUUGGACCAAAUUCAUUUCAGUGGUGAAUUUGCUGCGAAGGGUUUCAGAAUUGGUGUAGUGGCUGGUAUGAUAGCAUUAACGGAGAGGCUGUGAUGACCCACACUUGCGAAGUGACAUUAAGGAUGUGGAGAAUAGUAGCAUGGGAGUCCAUUUUUAACAGUUUCUUUUAUCACGAUCCUUUUUUCCUCAAUGAUGGUACAGCUUGGAGUACCCUGGCUCAAAGAACAGGCUACUCUGAUAAUGUGAUGGACCAUCCAUGAACAUUGAAUGUGGGCCAUCAAUUUCGAUUGUUUAUGUCUAAGACAUCUGAUAUGCACUCAGCCUGAUUCCUGAACCAAGGAUAUUGAUUGAGGGAUUAGGAGCUUCAAGCUGUAAGAAUUUUGGAGCAUCUUCCAUCCGAGGGAGGGCCUAUAAGACCAAUAGUUUGGAUCUUCCAACUGUGGCCCCAGCUGCACGGACUGCAACACUUGGACACUUAUAACCAACCGUUUUAUUCUUAUAUUGUUAAAUAAGUAUAUGCUUCAAAUUUAUUUCAUCUGUGGAGGUCUAUUUAAUUCACUUAUAGAUAGGUGCAGAUGUUGCAUGAUUAAAAUCAUGUUCCUUUUUCUCUCUUAGGGAGGAGGAUGGUGCAACAAUGUUACAACUUGCCUCUCAUGAAAAGAAAACCAUUUGGGUUCAUCCAAGAAGACUGGGUUUGAUGUCUACUUCUCCAUGGCUAGGGGGAAUGCCACUUUGCCUGCUAUGGAAAUGACCAAGUGCUUUGACAUCAACUAUAACUACCCCUUAUCAAUCGUUCUGGUUGGCGUUGGUGAUGGACCUUGGUGAUAACCUCUCCAACCAGCAAAGAGACAAAACCCUGCUCCAAGACUGAAGGAAAGCACACAAUCCCAUAGCUAGAGGUUGCCACCAAGCCUACAUUAAACAUAAGAGCAACACAAGAAGCUCCCAGCAGGCAUUGACUUGGAUGCAGACCAAAUUAAAAGAAAAGAUCCCCCUGCAGCUUGAAUUCCGAAAGCGCUGAGCCAACACUAUAGAUACCUACCCGUGCACCAUCACUCCUGCAAAACAUGGCCACAAACAAGCCACAGCGGGAAAUCCUAGGAUUUUCUGAAUCUGACCACUCCAGCCCAGAAGAUAAGAUUAUCUGCUGCAUUGAGGGCCUGAACCUACAGAAAGACUCCGAAAUACUAGUUUUGAUGCCUUCUACUGCUACACAGCUCACCAAAGAUCGACAGAAGAAACCAGUCCCUUGGAAACAAUGGCAAUCAUUGGCAACAUAGAGAUCAUUGACAUUAACCAAGGUACGUUAGCUACAUAGACUGGUGUAAAUAA
Molecule: long non-coding RNA, 1858 nt
Organism: Magnolia sinica
Lineage: Eukaryota; Viridiplantae; Streptophyta; Magnoliopsida; Magnoliales; Magnoliaceae
Exons: 6
Source: RefSeq, a predicted model, not a curated record